CCCCCCCAAGCCAGCCUGCUGCUGAUAUUCCCAUGUGUGACGAGGGACGAGCGGGAAGGAAUCAGGAGAGCUUAACGAGGACCUUUCUUCUGACCUGGCAGCUUCCCCCCGCCAUACACCGGUUUUUUGAUCGUGGUCAAAGACACAUACAAUUUAUCAUCUUAGCGGUUUUGUGUCCAUUUCAGGGGCGGUAAGCGCGUUCCCAUUGUUGUGCAGCCAUCGCUGCCAUCCAUCUGCGAGACGUUUUCAUCUUCCCAGAGUGAGAGCCCCAGCCCCACCGUCGGCCCCCUGCGUCUGUGUGCGGGACAGCUCCAGCGACCUCACAGAGGUGGGGUCACACGUACUUGUGCUUUCGUACCCGGCUCGCGUCACUCAGCAUCACGUCCUUGAGGUCCACGCAUGUGGUAGCAGGUGCCAACGCGUCCCUCUUCGUUACGGCCCACGCCAUCCCACAGUGUGGAUGUGCCACGUCGUAUUUAUCCGUCACCCAUCCGUGGACACAUCAUGUUUCCUGGUGUUGGAGGCAAGCUGGAGGAUGUCCUGGGAAAACAAGCCAGUGUUUGGAUGGUUUCAGAUCUCCUUUACGUGUAUUGACUACGCUGUGGAUUUCAGUCACGUGCUGUAAUUUUGAAUAAUGCAUAUUCGUCAAAACAAGCCACAGCGUUUAAAUAACAACAGUUUGGGGCAUCUGGGGGCUCAGUCGAUCAAGUGUCCAACUCUUGACUUUGGCUCAGGUCAUGAUCUCGCGGUCCGCGGGUUCAAGCCCCACGUCCGGCUCUGUGCUGACAAUGUGGAGCCUGCUUGGGAUUCUUUCUCUCUCUCCCUCUGCCUUCCCCCUCUCGGGUCUGUCUGUCUGUCUCUCUCAAGAUAAAUAAACUUAAAACAUUUUUUUAAGUAAGUAACGUAACAGUUCUGAAAUACCUCUUUAGCCGCCACCAUCAUGGCGCUUGGCAUCUGCCUCUCUCGGUAGUUUCUCACUGAGAUGUGUUUAUUUCGAGAAUAUUCAGACACAUGUCACAACUCACUGACUGGUGGGCUCAUUACGGGCAGGGUCACAUCUCCCAUUUCCUUGUUUUUGGUUCUGCCAAGAAUAAUCACCCUGUAGGUCUGUUUCUGUGGGUAGCGGGGGCAUGUUUGCAGGGACGUCGAGGCCCGGGGACCAUUGGAGCAGAUUGCAGCGACAUCCGUACCCCCGUCCAGAUUCCUGUGUGGCUCCCGGGGCCCGAGGGACGAUGGCACAGAAGGUCCCCCUCGGCCGUCCGCCUCUGCCUUCCAGAGGCUGCAGCAAGAGGGGGCCCCCCUCGUCCUUUCUGGGGUAACUCUUUCUGCUUCCCUGGUCCACAGAAUAGCAUCCUGUGAAGAAAUUUGGCUCCAUAUUUUUUUGUGCCCCCAGAAUUUUUACAUUGGGGCGCCCGGGUGGCUCAGUCGGUUGAGCAUCCAACUUUUGAUUUCGGCUCAGAUCGUGACCUCACGGCUCGUGGGGUGGAGCCCUGUGUUGGACUCUGCUCUGGGUGUGGAGCCUGCUUGGGAUUCUCUUUCUCUGCCUCUCUCCCCUGCUCACACGCUCCUGCCCUCUCUCUCUAAAAGAAGAAAAAUAAAAAUAAAAAAUUUUUAUUGA
Molecule: long non-coding RNA, 1618 nt
Organism: Neofelis nebulosa (Clouded leopard)
Lineage: Eukaryota; Metazoa; Chordata; Mammalia; Carnivora; Felidae
Exons: 2
Source: RefSeq, a predicted model, not a curated record